CGGGCUCAAACGCAGGAGGGAUACUUUUGAAAGGAGGUAGCCUUCGGGCCUCCUGCGAGGUGCUGCAUGGUUGUCGUCAGCUCGUGCCGUGAGGUGUCGGCUUAAGUGCCAUAACGAGCGCAACCCCCACCGACAGUUGCCAUCAGGUCGAGCUGGGCACUCUGUCGGGACUGCCGGCGCAAGCUGCGAGGAAGGCGGGGAUGACGUCAAAUCAGCACGGCCCUUACGUCCGGGGCGACACACGUGUUACAAUGGCAGGUACAGAGAGAAGCCACCCGGCGACGGGGAGCGGAACUACAAAGCCUGUCUCAGUUCGGAUCGGAGUCUGCAACCCGACUCCGUGAAGCUGGAUUCGCUAGUAAUCGCGCAUCAGCCACGGCGCGGUGAAUACGUUCCCGGGCC
Molecule: ribosomal RNA, 402 nt
Filed under: uncultured bacterium
Lineage: Bacteria
Description: bacterial SSU rRNA
Rfam family: Bacterial small subunit ribosomal RNA
Source: RNAcentral